Molecule: ribosomal RNA, 443 nt
Filed under: uncultured bacterium
Lineage: Bacteria
Description: partial 16S ribosomal RNA
Rfam family: Bacterial small subunit ribosomal RNA
Source: RNAcentral
CCUACGGGAGGCAGCAGUGGGGAAUAUUGGGCAAUGGGCGCAAGCCUGACCCAGCAACGCCGCGUGAAGGAAGAAGGCUUUCGGGUUGUAAACUUCUUUUCUCAGGGACGAAGAAAGUGACGGUACCUGAGGAGUAAGCCACGGCUAACUACGUGCCAGCAGCCGCGGUAAUACGUAGGUGGCAAGCGUUAUCCGGAUUUAUUGGGUGUAAAGGGCGUGUAGGCGGGAGCGCAAGUCAGAUGUGAAAACUCAGGGCUCAACCCUGAGCCUGCAUUUGAAACUGUGUUUCUUGAGUGCUGGAGAGGCAAUCGGAAUUCCGUGUGUAGCGGUGAAAUGCGUAGAUAUACGGAGGAACACCAGUGGCGAAGGCGGAUUGCUGGACAGUAACUGACGCUGAGGCGCGAAAGCGUGGGGAGCAAACAGGAUUAGAUACCCGUGUAGUC